RNAcentral lists this ribosomal RNA (880 nucleotides) under marine metagenome. RNAcentral's name for it is "bacterial SSU rRNA". It matches the Rfam family "Bacterial small subunit ribosomal RNA", at positions 476 to 1357 of the family's 1533-position model. The record is from RNAcentral.
UACCAGAAUAAGAAGGUCCGGCUAACUUCGUGCCAGCAGCCGCGGUAAUACGAAGGGACCUAGCGUAGUUCGGAAUUACUGGGCUUAAAGAGUUCGUAGGUGGUUAAAAAAGUUGGUGGUGAAAUCCCAGAGCUUAACUCUGGAACUGCCAUCAAAACUUUUUAGCUAGAGUAUGAUAGAGGAAAGCAGAAUUUCUAGUGUAGAGGUGAAAUUCGUAGAUAUUAGAAAGAAUACCAAUUGCGAAGGCAGCUUUCUGGAUCAUUACUGACACUGAGGAACGAAAGCAUGGGUAGCGAAGAGGAUUAGAUACCCUCGUAGUCCAUGCCGUAAACGAUGUGUGUUAGACGUUGGAAAUUUAUUUUCAGUGUCGCAGCGAAAGCAAUAAACACACCGCCUGGGGAGUACGACCGCAAGGUUAAAACUCAAAUGAAUUGACGGGGACCCGCACAAGUAGUGGAGCAUGUGGUUUAAUUCGAAGAUACGCGCAGAACCUUACCAACACUUGACAUGUUCGUCGCGACUUUAAGAGAUUAAAGUUUUCGGUUCGGCCGGACGAAACACAGGUGCUGCAUGGCUGUCGUCAGCUCGUGUCGUGAGAUGUUGGGUUAAGUCCCGCAACGAGCGCAACCCUCACUUUUAGUUGCCAUCAUUAAGUUGGGCACUCUGAAAGAACUGCCAGUGAUAAGCUGGAGGAAGGUGGGGAUGACGUCAAGUCCUCAUGGCCCUUACGUGUUGGGCUACACACGUGCUACAAUGGCAUUUACAAUAGGAAGCAAAACGGCGACGUUAAGCAAAUCCUAAAAAAAUGCCUCAGUUCGGAUUGUACUCUGCAACUCGAGUACAUGAAGCUGGAAUUACUAGUAAUCGCGGAUCAGCGCGC